Molecule: ribosomal RNA, 397 nt
Filed under: uncultured bacterium
Lineage: Bacteria
Description: partial 16S ribosomal RNA
Rfam family: Bacterial small subunit ribosomal RNA
Source: RNAcentral
AUACGUAGGGGGCGAGCGUUGUCCGGACUGAUUGGGCGUAAAGGGCGCGUAGGCGGCCUUGCAAGUCAGUAGUGGAAGUCCAUUUUUCAAGGAUGGAAGUGCUACAGAAACUGCGGAGCUUGAGUGCAGGAGAGGUUAUCGGAAUUCCCGGUGUAGCGGUGAAAUGCGUAGAGAUCGGGAGGAACACCAGUGGCGAAGGCGGGUAACUGGACUGCAACUGACGCUGAGGCGCGAAAGUGUGGGGAGCAAACAGGAUUAGAUACCCUGGUAGUCCACACUGUAAACGAUGAAUGCUAGGUGUAGGAGGUAUCGACCCCUUCUGUGCCGCAGUAAACACAGUAAGCAUUCCGCCUGGGGAGUACGGUCGCAAGAUUAAAACUUAAAGGAAUUGGCGGGG